CCCGCCCCUGCCCCGGGGCAGCCUGUGCUGUUCCGUGUGCGCGGCGCAUACGCACCUGGGUUGUCUCGAGCCUGCGGUAGUGGCCAGAUCCCAGACAUCCGAGUAGAUCCCGUGAAAAGGUCUCCCACGUGGGCUGUGGACAGGGCCCAAGGGUAGCAGAGCUAGCAGAGGCAGUGACGGACUGUGUGGCAGGUCAUUUGCAAGGAGAAAAGCCGUCUGCCUCUUAAUUUGUGGCUCAAGUUUCAGAAUUUUUUUCCUGAGGGACUUUAGAAAUUACUUCAGGCUUGCCACCUAACCUUAAACCACCCCCUUGGAGACUGGCUAAGUGUUAUUUGUGUUUUCUGUUUAGUUCUUAUCACCAUCGAUACUUGGUUAUGACUGGUUGUGUACAUUGGUUAGCCCAGCAAGUAUUACUUCUCCAGCUUAACAGAUGUGGAAACUUAAGCCCAGAGACAUGAGUUGACACCCCACCCCCAAAGCUAGAGUCUAAAACCCUUUCUUUCGCUCCUCAUCUCCCACAGGAUAAAAUGCAAAUUAAUCAGACUAGUGGUGAGGCCCUCCGUGGUGUGACUAACCUGCAUCCCGACGUUUUCACCCUACUUUGAUCCAGAAAGCACCUUUCCGCCCCAUCUCUUCUCCUUUCCUUAAAUACCCCUUACAACUUCCUGUACCAUUCUUCCCUGUUCAGCUUCUUCUUGGUUUCUUCGUACAUUCUGGAUCCACCCCUUUCAUGCAUAUUCCAGACCACAUUUCCACUGGAGCAGUUGAAAUGAGAGAGAUGGGAAUGGGACUCACCCGAACCAGAGGAAUUUUUAUUACAGACCCAUUAACAGAGGUGUCAAAGUCACAGGAACAAGGAUGUGCACCUCAGAAACACAGAGGUCAGUGGAAAAUCAGUUUGCUUCUAUUUGUUUAAAAAAUGGGGGACUUAUGCAUAAAUCUAAGACCUUCUUGAAUCUAACAUUCUAAGACCUGUAUGCCACAGAAAGGAGGGUCUCAGAACGCCGGAGGAUAGUAUUUAAAUCUUAAAUAUCUAUAUUGUUCUCCACAGUUACUGGGUCACCACAUAGCAGGCAUUCAAUAAAAACGUGUUUGUUUACUAAGUA
This 1106-nucleotide long non-coding RNA is filed under the name Homo sapiens (human). RNAcentral describes it as "non-protein coding lnc-PROC-1:9". The record is from RNAcentral. Lineage: Eukaryota; Metazoa; Chordata; Mammalia; Primates; Hominidae.